AAGCCAUGGUGUGGGCACUGCCAUCUUAGCUCCUUAAAUCUCUCCCAAGACUCAGUUAGAGAUUCACUUGCCAAUUGCUUGAAACUUUGGAUUGCCCUUCUCAUCCU
Molecule: small nucleolar RNA, 107 nt
Filed under: Ipomoea nil (Japanese morning glory)
Lineage: Eukaryota; Viridiplantae; Streptophyta; Magnoliopsida; Solanales; Convolvulaceae
Description: Plant small nucleolar RNA R71
Rfam family: Plant small nucleolar RNA R71
About the family: R71 is a member of the C/D box family of snoRNAs containing the C (UGAUGA) and D (CUGA) box motifs. Multiple nearly identical copies of this snoRNA have been identified in Arabidopsis, and it is thought to function as a 2'-O-ribose methylation guide for 18S ribosomal RNA.
Source: Rfam by way of RNAcentral